Molecule: unclassified non-coding RNA, 368 nt
Filed under: uncultured fungus
Lineage: Eukaryota; Fungi
Description: partial contains small subunit ribosomal RNA, internal transcribed spacer 1, and 5.8S ribosomal RNA
Rfam family: Eukaryotic small subunit ribosomal RNA (bases 1-73)
Source: RNAcentral
UCAAACUUGGUCAUUUAGAGGAAGUAAAAGUCGUAACAAGGUAUCUGUAGGUGAACCUGCAGAUGGAUCAUUUCGAUGAAAACCUUUUUUUCUUGAGGUGUGGCUCGCACCUGUCUAACUAAACUUGAGCUACCUUUUUUCAACACGGUUGCAUCGGUUGGCCUGUCAAACAGUGCGGCGGCGUGAAUUUUCACGUCUGCUUUGGCUGGGCGACGGACCGACACUUAAUCAACACUUUUGAUGAUCUAGGAUUUGAAUGAUAAAAGUUCAUUUUUACAAUGAAAUCGACUGGUAAUGCGGUCGUCUAAUUUUUAAAAACAACUUUUGGCAACGGAUCUCUUGGUUCUCCCAUCGAUGAAGAACGCAGC